AGUCUGAUGAUGUAACAAAGCUGAUGAGUGUGAUCCUGGGCGGUCUGACUGCUGUUCUCCUAACAGUCAUCAUUGGUCUGGUUGUUACAAUCAGGAAACUUCAGAAAGCUGCCAGUGAAGAACAGAAUCCACCACAGCGUGAGAAUCCGGGCUCUGAUGAUCUGAACUAUGCAGCAGUGAAUUUCUGUCAAAAAGGAAAAAGAAGAGAAGUGGAGCAGAAUGUUGUGUAUUCUUCUACUAGAUAGGAAGAUCAGGAAGCAACCUGAGGUGUUGUUCAGAGUAAAACUGAUGCUUUGACAUAUUAAUCUGCAGAUGUGCUUUUGUGUUAGUGGUGGACUUACCAUUACUGUGUCAAAAGAAAAAGAAAUGUGAAGGCCUAUUCCUAGUAAUGUGUUCUAUUCCUGUUCCUCUUUUGAAAGAUGUAAUCAGAGUACAUCAAUACAGAAAGUAGAUAUUUUUAAUAUUGACUUAAUACUCUGAGUGUCUAUACUGGUAUGAGGAAUAAAAAUACAAAGAUGCAGCAGCCAUCCAGCUUUAUUUUUCUUUUCAUGUACUGUACAUGUAACAAGUCUACUGUCUACUGUGGUAAGAAAACAGCGCUGUGGGUACCAGCCUAAA
Molecule: non-coding RNA, 618 nt
Organism: Epinephelus lanceolatus (giant grouper)
Lineage: Eukaryota; Metazoa; Chordata; Actinopteri; Perciformes; Serranidae
Source: RefSeq, a predicted model, not a curated record